GACAGGUGGUGCAUGGUUGUCGUCAGCUCGUGUCGUGAGAUGUUGGGUUAAGUCCCGCAACGAGCGCAACCCUUAAGCUUAGUUGCCAUCAUUAAGUUGGGCACUCUAAGUUGACUGCCGGUGACAAACCGGAGGAAGGUGGGGAUGACGUCAAAUCAUCAUGCCCCUUAUGAUUUGGGCUACACACGUGCUACAAUGGACAAUACAAAGGGCAGCGAAACCGCGAGGUCAAGCAAAUCCCAUAAAGUUGUUCUCAGUUCGGAUUGUAGUCUGCAACUCGACUACAUGAAGCUGGAAUCGCUAGUAAUCGUAGAUCAGCAUGCUACGGUGAAUACGUUCCCGGGUCUUGUACACACCGCCCGUCACACCACGAGAGUUUGUAACACCCGAAGCCGGUGGAGUAACCUUUUAGGA
RNAcentral lists this ribosomal RNA (414 nucleotides) under Staphylococcus aureus. Its description in RNAcentral is "bacterial SSU rRNA". It matches the Rfam family "Bacterial small subunit ribosomal RNA", at positions 1033 to 1447 of the family's 1533-position model. Lineage: Bacteria; Bacillati; Bacillota; Bacilli; Caryophanales; Staphylococcaceae. The record is from RNAcentral.